ACUGCUCAGUAACACGUAGUCAACCUAACCUAUGGACGGGAAUAGCCUCGGGAAACUGAGAAUAAUGCCCGAUAGAACACUAUAUCUGGAAUGGUUUGUGUUCCAAAUGAUUUAUCGCCGUAGGAUGGGACUGCGGCCUAUCAGUUUGUUGGUGAGGUAAUGGCCCACCAAGACUAUUACAGGUACGGGCUCUGAGAGGAGUAGCCCGGAGAUGGGUACUGAGACACGGACCCAGGCCCUAUGGGGCGCAGCAGGCGAGAAAACUUUGCAAUGUGCGAAAGCACGACAAGGUUAAUCCGAGUGGUUUCUGCUAAAGGAACCUUUUGUCGGUCCUAGAAACACCGAUGAAUAAGGGGUGGGCAAGUUCUGGUGUCAGCCGCCGCGGUAAAACCAGCACCUCAAGUGGUCAGGAUGAUUAUUGGGCCUAAAGCAUCCGUAGCCUGCUCUGUAAGUUUUCGGUUAAAUCUGUAGGCUCAACGUACAGGCUGCCGGGAAUACUGCAGAGCUAGGGAGUGGGAGAGGUAGACGGUACUCGGUAGGAAGGGGUAAAAUCCUUUGAUCUAUUGAUGACCACCUGUGGCGAAGGCGGUCUACCAGAACACGUCCGACGGUGAGGGAUGAAAGCUGGGGGAGCAAACCGGAUUAGAUACCCGGGUAGUCCCAGCUGUAAACUAUGCAAACUCAGUGAUGCAUUGGCUUGUGGCCAAUGCAGUGCUGCAGGGAAGCCGUUAAGUUUGCCGCCUGGGAAGUACGUACGCAAGUAUGAAACUUAAAGGAAUUGGCGGGGGAGCACCACAAGGGGUGAAGCCUGCGGUUCAAUUGGAGUCAACGCCGGA
Molecule: ribosomal RNA, 836 nt
Filed under: uncultured archaeon
Lineage: Archaea
Description: bacterial SSU rRNA
Rfam family: Archaeal small subunit ribosomal RNA
Source: RNAcentral